RNAcentral lists this transfer RNA (104 nucleotides) under Candidatus Woesearchaeota archaeon. RNAcentral describes it as "tRNA-Asn". It matches the Rfam family "tRNA". Rfam says of the family: Transfer RNA (tRNA) molecules are approximately 80 nucleotides in length. Their secondary structure includes four short double-helical elements and three loops (D, anti-codon, and T loops). Lineage: Archaea; Nanobdellati; Candidatus Woesearchaeota. The record is from RNAcentral.
GCCCUCGUAGCUUAGCAGGUAGAGCGUAUGGCUGUUAACCAUAAAUUUAAGAAUUUAUUUUCUUGAUUUGGUAAAGGUCACCAGUUCGAGUCUGGUCGAGGGCG